RNAcentral lists this non-coding RNA (26 nucleotides) under Homo sapiens (human). Lineage: Eukaryota; Metazoa; Chordata; Mammalia; Primates; Hominidae. The record is from RNAcentral.
UCCGAAGCCGGCAGUCUACGCCACGA